UGGGGAAUUUUGGACAAUGGGCGAAANCCUGAUCCAGCAAUGCCGCGUGUGUGAAGAAGGCCUUCGGGUUGUAAAGCACUUUUGUCCGGAAAGAAAUCCUUGGCUCUAAUACAGUCGGGGGAUGACGGUACCGGAAGAAUAAGCACCGGCUAACUACGUGCCAGCAGCCGCGGUAAUACGUAGGGUGCAAGCGUUAAUCGGAAUUACUGGGCGUAAAGCGUGCGCAGGCGGUUUGCUAAGACCGAUGUGAAAUCCCCGGGCUCAACCUGGGAACUGCAUUGGUGACUGGCAGGCUAGAGUAUGGCAGAGGGGGGUAGAAUUCCACGUGUAGCAGUGAAAUGCGUAGAGAUGUGGAGGAAUACCGAUGGCGAAGGCAGCCCCCUGGGCCAAUACUGACGCUCAUGCACGAAAGCGUGGGGAGCAAACAGGAUUAGAUACCCUGGUAGUCCACGCCCUAAACGAUGUCAACUAGUUGUUGGGGAUUCAUUUCCUUAGUAACGUAGCUAACGCGUGAAGUUGACCGCCUGGGGAGUACGGUCGCAAGAUUAAAACUCAAAGGAAUUGACGGGG
Molecule: ribosomal RNA, 570 nt
Filed under: uncultured bacterium
Lineage: Bacteria
Description: partial 16S ribosomal RNA
Rfam family: Bacterial small subunit ribosomal RNA
Source: RNAcentral